UGGGGAAUAUUGGACAAUGGGGGCAACCCUGAUCCAGCCAUGCCGCGUGAAUGAUGAAGGCCUUAGGGUUGUAAAAUUCUUUCGCCAGGGAUGAUAAUGACAGUACCUGGUAAAGAAGCCCCGGCUAACUUCGUGCCAGCAGCCGCGGUAAUACGAAGGGGGCUAGCGUUGUUCGGAAUUACUGGGCGUAAAGCGCACGUAGGCGGGUUAUUAAGUCAGAUGUGAAAUCCCGAGGCUCAACCUCGGAACUGCAUUUGAAACUGGUAACCUAGAGUUCAGGAGAGGUUAGCGGAAUACCGAGUGUAGAGGUGAAAUUCGUAGAUAUUCGGUGGAACACCAGUGGCGAAGGCGGCUAACUGGACUGAUACUGACGCUGAGGUGCGAAAGUGUGGGGAGCAAACAGGAUUAGAUACCCCCGUAGUCC
This 424-nucleotide ribosomal RNA is filed under the name uncultured prokaryote. RNAcentral describes it as "bacterial SSU rRNA". It matches the Rfam family "Bacterial small subunit ribosomal RNA", at positions 355 to 796 of the family's 1533-position model. The record is from RNAcentral.